This 301-nucleotide ribosomal RNA is filed under the name uncultured bacterium. Its description in RNAcentral is "partial 16S ribosomal RNA". It matches the Rfam family "Bacterial small subunit ribosomal RNA", at positions 509 to 807 of the family's 1533-position model. The record is from RNAcentral.
CAGUAGCCACGGGAAUACAGAGGGUGCGAGCGUUAAUCGGAUUUACUGGGCGUAAAGCGUGCGUAGGCGGCUUUUUAAGUCGGAUGUGAAAUCCCUGAGCUUAACUUAGGAAUUGCAUUCGAUACUGGGAAGCUAGAGUAUGGGAGAGGAUGGUAGAAUUCCAGGUGUAGCGGUGAAAUGCGUAGAGAUCUGGAGGAAUACCGAUGGCGAAGGCAGCCAUCUGGCCUAACACUGACGCUGAGGUACGAAAGCAUGGGGAGCAAACAGGAUUAGAUACCCGUGUAGUCCCUGUCUCUUAUAC